This 225-nucleotide long non-coding RNA is filed under the name Elaeis guineensis (African oil palm). RNAcentral describes it as "long non-coding RNA (EGUI_LNC020367)". Lineage: Eukaryota; Viridiplantae; Streptophyta; Magnoliopsida; Arecales; Arecaceae. The record is from RNAcentral.
CUGGGUGUAGUCAAGUACUUGACUUGUCAGUGCGUGUGUCAAGAUGGGAUUGACCACUCCAGUUUAGGAGCUGUGUACAGUCGUAUUUCAAUUUAGCAAAACUUUGGCCAGGGUAGUCCUUGUGAGGAGUCAUAGGACUGUUUGAGUUGAGUACGAUUCGGAUGAUCUGAUCAGGGUUGACAGUUUAACCCUGAGUCAUCCUAAACACAGAAGUCAAAAGGAUGA